Molecule: ribosomal RNA, 326 nt
Filed under: uncultured eukaryote
Lineage: Eukaryota
Description: partial 18S ribosomal RNA
Rfam family: Eukaryotic small subunit ribosomal RNA
Source: RNAcentral
CCCUUAGAUGUUCUGGGCCGCACGCGCGCUACACUGAUGCAUUCAACGAGCCCAGCCUUGACCGAGAGGUCCGGGUAAUCUUUGAAACUGCAUCGUGAUGGGGCUAGAUUAUUGCAAUUAUUAAUCUUCAACGAGGAAUGCCUAGUAAGCGUGAUUCAUCAAAUCGCGUUGAUUACGUCCCUGCCCUUUGUACACACCGCCCGUCGCUCCUACCGAUUGAGUGUGUUGGUGAGGAGUUCGGAUUGGCUCUUAGUGGUGGUUCGCCACCACCUAGAGCUGAGAAGUUCUCCAAACCGCCCCACUUAGAGGAAGGAGAAGUCGUAACA